This 199-nucleotide small nuclear RNA is filed under the name Macleaya cordata. RNAcentral's name for it is "U2 spliceosomal RNA". It matches the Rfam family "U2 spliceosomal RNA". Rfam says of the family: U2 is a small nuclear RNA (snRNA) component of the spliceosome (involved in pre-mRNA splicing). Complementary binding between U2 snRNA (in an area lying towards the 5' end but 3' to hairpin I) and the branchpoint sequence (BPS) of the intron results the bulging out of an unpaired adenosine, on the BPS, which initiates a nucleophilic attack at the intronic 5' splice site, thus starting the first of two transesterification reactions that mediate splicing. Lineage: Eukaryota; Viridiplantae; Streptophyta; Magnoliopsida; Ranunculales; Papaveraceae. The record is from Rfam by way of RNAcentral.
AUACCUUUCUCGGCCUUUUGGCUAAGAUCAAGUGUAGUAUCUGUUCUUAUCAGUUUAAUAUCUGAUACGUGGGACAUCGUCCCACAUGAUAUUAAAUUAAUUUUUUUCUUGGGGGAGGUCCCACCACAAUAGCUUGCUAUUUGGGGUCCUCGAGCGUCGCCCAUGCGUUGCACUACUGCACGGGCCUGGCGCACCCCCA